CGAUUAAACUCUCAGCAGCAACUUCAAGAAUCAUUUUUCUAUAGGGGCCUGGGAGGAAUUCUGGCAGAAGAGUAAAGUCGAAGUUCUUAGAAGCUCUGAGAAAUCAUGGGCCAUGCAGUAGGGGUCGAAAUGUUAAAAGGCCCACACUUCUUGAAAUAAACAGAAUGGUCCUGAGUGGAUUGCAACUGUUUUGGAAAUAGCUUUGUGAAAAGAGGUUGGAGAUCUACUCAAAAUUCUACGUUAGAGAAACUGAAAAGACAUCUAAUUUCAUUGCUUGGCAGAUGGAGUCUCACUCUGUUGCCCAGGCUGGAGUGCAGUGGCAUGAUCUUGGCUCACUGAAACCUUCACCUCCCGGGCUCAAGCGAUUCUCUUGCCUCAGCCUCCUGUGUAGCUGGGACUAUAUGCGCCCACCACGAUGCCUGGCUAAUUUUUUUUGUAAAAUUCAUCUUUAGUCUUUGAAUUUACAUUGUUCAAAACAGUGUUGGAAGUUUGGUAGAUUAACUUCAGUACUUGAAUACACAAACUCACAGACCGUUAGAAUCUAUGCCUACAAGAUUGCCCUCCUCGCAAUGUGGAACUUUUGGGCGCAGCAUCCUGGCAGGUCUUCUAUCCUCUGCUGAAGCUUACGGAAUACAAAUGCUUUAUUUUUAAAGGUAGUGUGUUACCUCACUGGGGAGCUCCAAAUAAUUAGAAAGCCGAGGUCUGCAUUCAUUUAACCGUUCGUCCUGGGUCUUAUGUCAAUCAGCAGUCACCUCGAUAAUGCUGCCUUAUAAACAAAGUGACUUAAAAUAAGCUUGAAACAAGCAUUUAUUUUCACAUUCAGCAGCCAAGAGAUGACCCAUGUUCAGCUGAUCUAUGCAGGACUCAGUCUUCCUGCAAACUCGCUGGGUUCAGGUCUGCUUCACGCGCUUGCCUGCCAGGGCCUAGGCUAAAGGGGCAGCAGUUGUGAGUGUCCCUUUCCCUCUGUGGAUGGCUAGAGCAUGGCAGGCAAGCCUCAGUACACAGGCACUGAAGGCCUCUGCCUGUGUCAGUUAGCUCAAGGUCCACCGUCAAAGCACAUGGCCAAGCAGGAAAGGAGCAGGCCUGGACCCUUUGUGCACAGUGGGACCAAGAACAAGGGGAUAUUUGCUGGACAAUAAUUCACAAUAUCCUUCUUCUUGAACUUCAUCACCUUAUGAAAGCAGGUCAUUAUAAGCAUCUUCUUUUUGCAAAGAAAGUAACUGACAAUCAGAAAGAUUAAAUACCUUGCUCUCUGGGUUUUACUAACUAAGAAAACCAGGAAGCAAACUUGGAUCUAAUUGACUCCAAAGCCCCUAUUUUUUGCCAAUGCCCUCUCUAGUCCAGCAUCUGUAUCUAUCAUCUAUGUAUCUGUAUCAUCUAUCUAUUCUGUAUCUAUAAAUGUGAGAAGUAUUUUCCUAAAGGUUUAUCUUUUCCAGCUGUACUGUUUUUGAGUUCAGCCUUCUUCUGUUGUUGUUUAUAUAAAUCUGACUCCUACCUACUUUUGUCAAAAUUAUUUCAUACUCUUAAGCACAUAAAAGUCUGUUACUAUAACUGGAUAAAAUAUUGUAAAUAACUUUGUAAACAUAAUAGUUCAAUAUACAUUCUCUCUAAUUUAGGCUACAAUGAGACUGUGAAAAAAAUCUUGAAAACCCUGGGAGAUAUGCAUGUGGUGGUGGGAUAUAUACACACACCAAGGACUUCAAUACUCCCUAAAUUUUACUUGGGUUUUUGAACAUUUUAAAUAUUUGAAAGCCACUGGUUUUAACAUGGCUGGCAGUAGCUUUUAUAUUAUAGAAUCAAAAGGAAAUGAUUUCAGAAUAUUCUUUACUUCAGAAAUAAAAAGCUGAUUUUUUUUCUGUUCUUUGGAAAA
This is a long non-coding RNA of Macaca mulatta (Rhesus monkey), 1870 nucleotides long. The record is from Ensembl. NCBI's taxonomy places the organism in Eukaryota, Metazoa, Chordata, Mammalia, Primates, Cercopithecidae.